RNAcentral lists this ribosomal RNA (435 nucleotides) under uncultured bacterium. RNAcentral describes it as "partial 16S ribosomal RNA". It matches the Rfam family "Bacterial small subunit ribosomal RNA", at positions 341 to 792 of the family's 1533-position model. The record is from RNAcentral.
ACGGAAGGCAGCAGUGGGGAAUAUUGCACAAUGGGCGAAAGCCUGAUGCAGCGACGCCGCGUGAGUGAAGAAGUAUUUCGGUAUGUAAAGCUCUAUCAGCAGGGAAGAAAAAUGCCGGUACCUGACUAAGAAGCACCGGCUAAAUACGUGCCAGCAGCCGCGGUAAUACGUAUGGUGCAAGCGUUAUCCGGAUUUACUGGGUGUAAAGGGAGCGCAGGCGGUACGGCAAGUCUAAUGUGGAAGCCCGGGGGUCAACCCCGGUACUGCAUUGGAAACUGUCGAGCUAGAGUGUCGGAGGGGUAAGCGGAAUUCCUAGUGUAGCGGUGAAAUGCGUAGAUAUUAGGAAGAACACCGGUGGCGAAGGCGGCUUACUGGACGAUAACUGACGCUGAGGCUCGAAAGCGUGGGGAGCAAACAGGAUUAGAUACCCUGGUA